Molecule: long non-coding RNA, 458 nt
Organism: Bactrocera dorsalis (oriental fruit fly)
Lineage: Eukaryota; Metazoa; Arthropoda; Insecta; Diptera; Tephritidae
Exons: 3
Source: RefSeq, a predicted model, not a curated record
GAAUUCUCGGAAAUGCAUAUGAUGUCAAGUACGCUUGAGUGCUACGUGGAAUAACGAGUUGCUGCAGCUGGAAAUGUGCAUAAAACACACAAACCGACGCAAACAAACAAAAACAUUACUAGGAUAUUGCGCAGCAAUCCGAAUUUUAACGUCAUCAACUUUAACACACACUUUUAGGACACACUUCGUCUGUUCAGUUUAAAUUGCAGAGGAAAUAAUUCUACUACUAAAGGAUUUUGGUUCUUCUCUGUGCUCUUGAAAGUCGAAUAUCCGUAACGAUUUGAAAUGAACAAUGACUGUCACCGUCAUAUAAACCCGACUACGAGGCAUAUUUACAGUUUCUUUCGACAAUAAUUAGCAAUUUCAACGAGAAAAGCGCCAACCUUAGAAAUAACAGUUUUUCUGGUGUAAGAUUGUAGAAAGAGAGAAACUAAUGGUAAUAAUGGUAACAAAAAUCA